Molecule: transfer RNA, 76 nt
Filed under: Planctomyces sp. SH-PL14
Lineage: Bacteria; Pseudomonadati; Planctomycetota; Planctomycetia; Planctomycetales; Planctomycetaceae
Description: tRNA-Arg
Rfam family: tRNA
About the family: Transfer RNA (tRNA) molecules are approximately 80 nucleotides in length. Their secondary structure includes four short double-helical elements and three loops (D, anti-codon, and T loops).
Source: RNAcentral
UGCACCCCUAGCUCAAUUGGAUAGAGCAUCGGUCUACGGAACCGAAGGUUGGUGGUUCGAGCCCACCGGGGUGUAU